Long non-coding RNA from Cornus florida, 605 nucleotides. RefSeq lists it as uncharacterized. The record is from RefSeq and is a predicted model, not a curated record. NCBI's taxonomy places the organism in Eukaryota, Viridiplantae, Streptophyta, Magnoliopsida, Cornales, Cornaceae. The transcript has 2 exons.
GCUUUUCUCUCCUCUCUACGGCUUCUCCGCUUCUCUCUCCUCUCUACGGCUUCUCUCUCCUCUCCACCGCUUCUCUUUGCAAUAUCGCUGCGCGCACUUCUCUCCUCUAGAUCCAACUCUUGCUCAGAUUUUGUUGAGGUUCUUGGAAAAUCAAGAUGGACAUAGAUUGGAGUGACACGUCGUCUUCAUAUUCUAGUGAUUCAAAUGAAGAUUUUGAUGACCUUGUAGAUUGUAUGUAUUUGAAUUUGAUGCAGAAGUAUGAAGAUUCCUUUAAAUCCAAAGUACCAAAAAGAACUUCGGGGUUAACAGAUCAUGAGUAUGUUCAGGAAUUGUUGAAUGACCAUGCCGCUUGUUUGAUGGUGUAGCACAAAUGGGAGCCCUUAGAACUCAUCUGACAAAUCAAAUGUGGGCAUCAUUCAGAGGCAAUGCUAGAUGAAGUUAUUUUUAUAAUUCUCCAAUGUUUUGCUUUGAUUACCUAUUUGUGUAAUUCUCUAAUAUUUUGUUUCGGUUAUGUAUGACUAAAAUUAAUGUUUGUACAGCUAAAAGUGUAUAUGACAUUUGAAGUAAUUAAUGUAACUCUUUUAUUGUAUUUCAAUUUAGUCAAA